This 502-nucleotide long non-coding RNA is filed under the name Nicotiana tabacum (common tobacco). RNAcentral's name for it is "long non-coding RNA (NTAB_LNC006154)". Lineage: Eukaryota; Viridiplantae; Streptophyta; Magnoliopsida; Solanales; Solanaceae. The record is from RNAcentral.
AAAAAUAAAAAACAAUGGUGAAGCAAAUAGAGCUCUUUGUUGUGAAAUGCUGAACUUUUACUCGGUUAUUCUUUUGUACUUCUAUGCUCUGCUCCCUUGAUAAUUUUCACUUAAUGAUGAUGUAAGAUAACCUAUUGUCCUAUCUAUACAGGUUAGGGGUCGAAUCUGCCCCUGCCAUCGUAUUUCUAAAAGAAACAGGUGUCAAACCUGUUGUUCAUCAUGGCAAGUUCAUUUUUCUCCUCAUUUCUUAUUGUAUAUUCUCUAAUAACUUCUGGUGGCUGUGAUAAGUUACGUGUCUAAGAUGUUUAUGAUUGUAGGCUAUGUCAACAGUUCAUUGUUUGUGGAUAUUAUGGAGAAGAAUAAAAAUCAAGGUACUUAUCUUUUCUCCCUUUUACCAUUGUAUUUGGCUAUUUCGUCAGUUUCAUAGUUAGUGUACUGCAUAAGUGAAUUGAACACGUAUUUUUUCAUAAACUGCUUUAUCUGAUAUUAUUUGUGCUGUGGC